Molecule: long non-coding RNA, 457 nt
Organism: Ruditapes philippinarum (Manila clam)
Lineage: Eukaryota; Metazoa; Mollusca; Bivalvia; Venerida; Veneridae
Exons: 3
Source: RefSeq, a predicted model, not a curated record
GUGCCCACUGCUACGUUUACUUAUCUAUAAAAUUACAUACUUUGUGUUCAAUUCAACAUCAACGCGGAUCUUAACAGCGGGUUUAACAACACGCAUCAUCUGCUACUUUCUUUGAUAUUUUGGCGCAAAAAGAAACAAAAAUGCCAAAACUCAUACAAUCUGUUCUAUUAUUUUGUCUUAUUGUAUUUGCCCUCGGAAAUAGUAAUAAUAAUGCAGGGUGCAACUUCGUAUCAGAACAAUCAGGAAAUUUAGAGCCAAGUCAAGAGCAAGAACAAGAAAGAGGAGGAGGAAGUAAAAGAAAUCCACAACUGUCAAGCAAGCAUAUCGUUGGAAUUCGGAGGCCGCCCCCCGGGUAGAACACCAAGGCUACAAGUUACAAAAUACAUUACAGAUUGUGAAUUGUGUUGAUAGAUGAAUAAAUAGAAAAUAUAGAUAAAUACAGUACUGGAACAAAUCA